This 272-nucleotide ribosomal RNA is filed under the name Escherichia coli. RNAcentral's name for it is "partial 16S ribosomal RNA". It matches the Rfam family "Bacterial small subunit ribosomal RNA", at positions 1 to 269 of the family's 1533-position model. The record is from RNAcentral. Lineage: Bacteria; Pseudomonadati; Pseudomonadota; Gammaproteobacteria; Enterobacterales; Enterobacteriaceae.
AAAUUGAAGAGUUUGAUCAUGGCUCAGAUUGAACGCUGGCGGCAGGCCUAACACAUGCAAGUCGAACGGUAACAGGAAACAGCUUGCUGUUUCGCUGACGAGUGGCGGACGGGUGAGUAAUGUCUGGGAAGCUGCCUGAUGGAGGGGGAUAACUACUGGAAACGGUAGCUAAUACCGCAUAACGUCGCAAGACCAAAGAGGGGGACCUUCGGGCCUCUUGCCAUCGGAUGUGCCCAGAUGGGAUUAGCUAGUAGGUGGGGUAAUGGCUCACC